This 419-nucleotide unclassified non-coding RNA is filed under the name soil metagenome. Its description in RNAcentral is "partial contains 5.8S ribosomal RNA, internal transcribed spacer 2, and large subunit ribosomal RNA". The stretch from base 2 to 121 matches the Rfam family "5.8S ribosomal RNA", at positions 35 to 154 of the family's 154-position model. The record is from RNAcentral.
GGAUGAAGAACGUAGCGAAAUGCGAUACGUAAUGUGAAUUGCAGAAUUCAGUGAAUCAUCGAAUCUUUGAACGCACAUUGCGCUCUCUGGUAUUCCGGAGAGCAUGCUUGUUUGAGUAUCAGUAAACACCUCAACUCCUUUAUUGUAGUUGGACUUGAGCUAUCCCAACAGGACUUUUUGUUCCUGGCGGGAGGCUUGAAAUGCAGGUGCAGCUGGACUUUCUUCUGAGCUAUAAGCAUAUUUAUUUAAUCCCUUAACACGGAUUAUUACUUUUUUGCUGCAGCUAACAUAAAGGUUGAAUUUCCAUUGAGCUGACUGAUGCAGGAAUUUGGCAAGGAAUUUUUUUAAUGACUUGUUAAACUCGAUCUCAAAUCAAGUAAGACUACCCGCUGAACUUAAGCAUAUCAAUAAGCGGAGGA